GUCAUAUGCUUGUCUCAAAGAUUAAGCCAUGCAUGUCUCAGUACAAGCCAAAUUAAGGUGAAACCGCGAAAGGCUCAUUAAAUCAGUUAUGGUUCCUUAGAUCGUACCCACAAUUACUUGGAUAACUGUGGUAAUUCUAGAGCUAAUACAUGCAAACAGAGCUCCGACCGGAGACGGAAGGAGUGCUUUUAUUAGAUCAAAACCAAUCGGUGGCGGGUUCGCGCUCGUUAUCGUACAACUUGGUGACUCUGAAUAACUUUACGCUGAUCGCACGGUCAUCGCACCGGCGACGCGUCUUUCAAAUGUCUGCCUUAUCAACUGUCGAUGGUAGGUUCUGCGCCUACCAUGGUUGUAACGGGUAACGGGGAAUCAGGGUUCGAUUCCGGAGAGGGAGCCUGAGAAACGGCUACCACAUCCAAGGAAGGCAGCAGGCGCGCAAAUUACCCACUCCCGGCACGGGGAGGUAGUGACGAAAAAUAACGAUACGGGACUCAUCCGAGGCCCCGUAAUCGGAAUGAGUACACUCUAAACCCUUUAACGAGGAUCAAUUGGAGGGCAAGUCUGGUGCCAGCAGCCGCGGUAAUUCCAGCUCCAAUAGCGUAUAUUAAAGUUGUUGCGGUUAAAAAGCUCGUAGUCGAAUUUGUGUCUCGCGCCGCCGGUUCAUCGUCCGCGGUGUUAACUGGCGAGUCGCGAGACGUCCUGCCGGUGGGCUUAGCUCGCGAGGGCGGCCCAACUCAAUCCUGCCGCGGUGCUCUUCAUUGAGUGUCGAGGUGGGCCGGCACGUUUACUUUGAACAAAUUAGAGUGCUUAAAGCAGGCUAAAACUUCGCCUGAAUACUGUGUGCAUGGAAUAAUGGAAUAGGACCUCGGUUCUAUUUUGUUGGUUUUCGGAACCCCGAGGUAAUGAUUAAUAGGAACGGAUGGGGGCAUUCGUAUUGCGACGUUAGAGGUGAAAUUCUUGGAUCGUCGC
This 969-nucleotide ribosomal RNA is filed under the name Trigonopterus sp. 825 AR-2022a. RNAcentral describes it as "SSU rRNA". It matches the Rfam family "Eukaryotic small subunit ribosomal RNA", at positions 23 to 931 of the family's 1831-position model. The record is from RNAcentral. Lineage: Eukaryota; Metazoa; Arthropoda; Insecta; Coleoptera; Curculionidae.